AGGGUUGGGCCUUUUUGAGGCAGCUACCAGAAGGGAGCACCAAGCAGAUGCAGCUCCCCUUCCCUCCCAUUCCACCAUCCACUGUCCCCAGCAAGAACCUGCGGGAGGGUGGCCCAAUGGGGAGAAAACUAAGGAUUCGGUGUUGGGACCACUCCUGCCCUGACCUGCCCUGUGACUCCGUCAUACUCUCCAAAGGCCAGACCCUCCUAGACCAGCUGGAACCACCAUCAAGAUGUCCCCAGCCAUGUCAGACUCUGGGGCCCCAGGCGGAGGGCAACCAGAUGUCUUCAGCUCCAAGUCUGGCCUCUCCUCCCAGCAAGCAGCCACCUCUGAUGGCCAACAGGUGCUGCUGUGUGCCCAGAUCAAGAAUCCACCUCUGCGGAAUUCAAAACCGCUGAGGGUUCUGGGACAGCAGGGAGGAGAGAGGUGGAGACGCAACAUGGGUUUUCUGUGUUCAGACUGCAGAGACCUUGGAAAGGAUCAACCAUAUACAAUGUCCAUUUCCUGCCCUCUAACCUGGCAGGGGAGCAAGGCCCAGCCAAGGAGUUACAGAAACUGAGGCUUGGCCAGGCGUGGUGGCUCACACCUGCAAUCUCAGCACUGGGAGGCCAAGGUGGGCAGAUCGCUUGAGCCCAGGAGUUUGAGACCAGCCCGAGGAACAUGGCGAAACCCCAUCUCUACAAAAAAUACAGAAAUUAGCCAAGUGUGGUGGCACGUGUCUGUAGUUUCAGCUACUCAGGAGGCUUAGGUGGGAGGAUCACCUGAGCCUGGGAGGUAGAGGUUGCAAUGAGCAGAGAUUGCUCUCCAGCCAGGGAGACAGAGUGAGACCCUGUCCCAAAAUAAAUAAAUAAAUAAGAAUAAAAUUUAAAAAAGAAACUGAGGCUCAAAGAGAACAAGUGACUAGUUCAAGGACUCAUUUUCACUAAGCUGGGACCAGAUCCCAGGGUUCUAACCGCUUACCAGAUCCUUUUCCAUUACCCUCUUGUUUAACCACAUCUUGAGUACCUGCUGUGGGCCAGGAGCUGAGAUACUUUGGAGAGUCUUUCAGGAAUAUUGUCCCAGCUCCUGAAACCUUUAGGGAUCCCCAAGUUCUAGACUCUGGCCAAAGCCGGCUGCCUUCACCCCCACCAAGGGAGACCCCCACAAACCAAGGGAGCCCUGCUCUCAGGUGCACAGGGCCUCUUCUCUCUGGGAGGUGACAGUUUUUUGAGGGUGGGGCCAGACACCUCCCAGGCUAUCCCUCACAGGAGAGGAUGGUCUGGACUGGAGGAGUAGAAGCAAGUAGGCACUGGGGAAGGGGAGGAGAGCGUCCUGAGUCCCAAGGGUCAGAGAUAGGAGCAAGAAGGAAACUGACGUGUUGCAGGGCGUGUGGUUAAGGAAGUGAGAGAGGGGCUCAGGGUCGAUUCUGCCUGCUUUUCCUUCCUCCAGCUUGCUCAGCACUCUUCCCAGAAUGUGGGCCCCAAACUGCCAGGUGACAAACAAUGCCCCCACCCCAAGAGAGUCAUCCAGCAUGUUUGAAGCUCCAUCUGGUCCUGUACACCAGUUGCACACCACCAAACGCAGACCCAUGACCACUCCACAACCUCGCACACAGACAGGGCAAAUCCCACCACAGAUCCGUGCAUCCCAGGCAUGCAGGCAAUGCGAUACUGACACAUGCCCGCCCCGCCCACGCCUGGGCCUCUGAACCCUGCUCCAGUCUCCUCAGUCAAGGGCGGCGGCCCCCUCAGGCCUCUUCCACCCUUUUGCCCCAUUCAGAUGCCUGGUUCCCAGCAUUGCUUGGGUAGAGACUCCCGCCUGACAAGCCCCAGCAGGCCAAGUUGAUGAGCCGGCCAAGCAAGCCUGUGUCUCCGCAGCGCCCUCCAUGUACACAUAACCCCCAUCACCGGGAACCUGGGCACCCCGCACUGGCACUAUGUCUGGCCCACGGGUAGGGGAUGGUUCCCAGGGUCUCCCCAGACCCAGUGCUCUUCCCCUGUAGGGCCACUCUUGCCCAGGGUUAGGAUGGACUGUGCUCCCUCUCCCUCAAACUAGGCCAGAGCCACGGAAGCCUGGGAAGGGAGAUGAGGAAGCACUUGUCACUCCAGACAUCCCACCACCAUCAGGGAGGUGGGCUGAGAUAAUGCCAAAUGCACAAAAUCCUCAAAAUCUGUCUGGGCAUGAUGAUUCAUGCCUAUAAUCCCAGCACUCUGGGAGGCCAAGGCAGGAGGAUCGCUUGAGCCCAGAAGUUCAAGACCAGCCUGGGCAACACAGCGAAACCCCGUCUCUACAAAAAAUAUAAAAAUUAGCCAGGUGUGGUAGUGCAUGCCUGUGGUCUCAACUACUCAGGAGGCUGAGGUGGGGAGGAUCACCUGAACCCAGGGAGGUCAAGGCUGCAGUGUGAGACCCGGUCUCAAAAAAAAAAAAAAAAAGGCUGGGCAACUUGGCAAGACCCCAUCUCUACAAAAAAUUUAAAAAUUAAUCGGGGAUGGUGGCGUGCACCUCUGGUCCCAGCUAUUCAGGAGGCUAAGGUGGGAAGAUCACUUGAGCCCAGGAAGUCAAGGGUGCAGUGAGCUGUGUUCGCGCCACUGCACUCCAGCCUGGGUGACGGACCAAGACCCUGUCUCAAAAAAAAAAAAAAAAAAAAAACUCCCCAAGUUCUUUCAGUGGCAGCACAGCUCAGGGGCUGACACACGGGAUCUGGAGUCCUCUGGAGGCUGAGUCAGAGCCCUAUCUCUACCACUUUCUAGAUAUGAGACUUUGGGUGAGUUACUUAACCUCUUUAAGCCUUGGUUCCUCAUCAAUAAAAUGGUAAUGACAUGUAUUUCCACCUCAAAGGUUGUUGGGAGGAUUAAGUAAAUUAAAGAAAGUCUUAGCACAGGCUCAGAGCACAUAGUAGGGAUUUAAUAAAUGCAGGCUGUUUCGACGGCUUUUUGGAUAGUCAUCACAGUCACACUGACAUUCAGACAUGCAGACACUCAGCCAUGGAUACACAAAGACACGGUGACACAUGUGGACGCUCAUAGACCCAGGCAAGCUCAUCCUUCCCGGCAUCACCCCCACCUCCCACUGCCAGCCUCAGGUUCCUACAGGCUCUUGACGUGCCCCAGUUCCUCCCAAGCAGGGAGGAUUCAGUAGGAUCUCCCACUUCCUUGGCUGAACUUUGGCAAGCCCAGAGCACUACCUUAUGGGCCCUCUGGGAGUAGGGAAGGGGUGGGCAACAUGAGACCCCAGGAUGGGGCCUCUCCCAGCAGGCAAGGAGCAUGGCAAAGGUGCCAGGCUGGCAGGGUCUCCAGUGCCAGAGGAGGGCCAGUUCCUCCCUCAGGGACAACAGAGGAAGGGGAAACUAAAGAGGAGCCUCUUUCCUCUUGGUGGGAAAUGAGCACUUACAGAAAAGGGUGCGUCUAGCCAGCCACAAAGUAAACACCAGGGCCAUUGCCCAGGCAACAGCAGGCUGGCAUUGGGACAGGGCUUACCACAACCCCUCCGUACCCCUGAUUUACCCACUCAGCAGCCCUUGGCUGUCUCUGGGGUCUCCAUUCUGGUCUCUAGGCCUGUCUGCAGACUCCUCAAAGGGAAGAAGCUAUGCCUCCUCCAUCAGACUGUGUGCUCCUUGAAAACAAGGGAUU
This is a long non-coding RNA of Homo sapiens (human), 3608 nucleotides long. RefSeq lists it as uncharacterized. The record is from RefSeq and is a predicted model, not a curated record. The transcript has 4 exons. NCBI's taxonomy places the organism in Eukaryota, Metazoa, Chordata, Mammalia, Primates, Hominidae.